AGAUUCUGAAUCCAGGAACAUGUAAGAUUUACAAGUCUCCCUGCUGCUCCCUCACAGACAUAGAUGUAAUGAUCUUCUGAAGGUAAGUAUCAGAAGAUGGAGUUGGGUGCAUACUAAUAUUCAAAGUAUGAUAAUUCAAACUAGAGUAAGAGCCUAUUCUUUUCCUGCCAUCUUUGGGAGGUGAAUGAAAGAACUGAUUAACAUAAGUGUGAUUCUGAUGUUACUUUCCUUACAGUUAUUUGUAGCAUAUAAUGUCAUUUCUAAACUUGGACGAAGAUGUUACUAGUUAGCAUCAGCUUAUCAGAGAACAUCACUAUCAGCUCUGCUUUGUUACUCUUUUUCUGUGUAACAGCAGUAUCAAAUGCAUCACAUACUUUCUCAUGCCCUCCUUUGGACGUAUUGUUAUAGGGAGUAAUGUGCAUUCAGUCUUUGGUAAAAAUAAGUAGGUGAUUUCCGUUAUACUUGUCACAAUAGCAUCAGUUAUUUUACUACUAAUAUACCAUACAGAUUGGAACGAAUUAACAGGCAAAAAGAAAACAUGAAGUGCUCAUGAAAGCCUACAUUUACUCUUGGGAAGGUUUCCAAAAUGUGUGAAAUGCAAAAAACAAAGCAUCUAAUAGUAACUCCUCUUUGAAAAGUAUUUGAUGACAAUCCUCUGUUUCACUUGUCAAUUAGAUGACUAGCUGGAAAAUAGAAGCUAUCUUCCGAACAUCAUGGCGUAUUUUUCUAUAAUGAAGGUUUUGCCCAUUGAGGGCAAUGUCAAAACUUUGAGUGUCUAAGGAGAAAGCAGGGUGUAGGAGUUCUCUUGACAAUUUGGAGUAUAUUGCUGUAAAUGUUAUUUUUCAGCUGGAUAGUUUUCUGAUGUGUAACUAAUUUCACUGCUCCUUUGAUAUUUUCAGAUGACAAUCCACAUAUAUCCCUACGUCAACAAAGGGGUGAUUUGGAUCAGUGUGCACUAUUAACCUGCCAGCAGCCAUUAGAUCAUGUUAUAUUUCCCUAUUUAUUCUCUAAUCAUCCACGGCUAGAUGCCCUAUCCUUCAUUUUCAUGUCUCUUCAUCUCUAAAAGCUAGUUUUCUAUUUCUCCUCUCCCCUCUAGUCUGAAUGUACUCAGAGAAAUCUACUCUUUGUAGAUCCUAAUUUGACACAAAGAACUAUCUGUCCCCAGGUUUAACAAGUCAGCCUGUGAAAGUUUGUCUGCUGAUAUGUACAAUAAUAUAUUGAAAAUUUUUAAGACAAGCAAGAUUUUACAAUAUAUUUGUUGUACUUCAGCAGUGUAUUUCCAUUGAUUUCAUAGAUGCAUGCAGACUGGAAGGGACCUUAGGAAGUCUCUUCUCCAAACUCCUGCUCGAACAAAUAUCGUUGUUAAAUUCGUUACUUAGACCAGGCUACUUAGGACUUUAUCUUUUCAGGUCUUCAACAUACUCAAAGACAGAAAUUUCAGAAUUGCUCUGGGCAACAUUUUUUCAAUGCUUUCUUGUUUUCAUAGUGAUUUUAUUUUCUUUUUAUCUGCUUUCCUGCCUCUAUUCUAUACCUACUGUCUUUCCACCUCCUAACAUGCAGCCACUGUGAAUUCUUGCUCCAACAUCUUGUUAAACUUCAGAUGUUGGGGAGCUGCAUUUAUGUCCUCCUGACAUUGUCUUUCCCAGUCUGCCUCAGCCUCUCCUCACAGGACAUGUGCUCCAAACCUGACAAUCCUGGUGGCUUUGCUGAACCUGCUCUGUUUUAUCACUGUCUUUCUUAUGCUGGGGCUCCAAGAUAAUACAAAGUAAAUUACUCAGUGGUAUUUCAUUUCUCACAGCAAUCCAGGUAAAGUACAGUCCAUGAACCACCUCUCUGAAAGUGCUACUAUUCUGACCUUUUUUUCUUUAACCCACCUAUCCAGAGUAUAAUGUUCUGACUUGGAUACAAGAAUAUUGUAGAAUACCCUUUCAAAAUCCUUGCAAAAGUCAAAUGUCAGCUUCAGCUGCCCUCUUUUCAUCCCUAGAUUCUAUCAUCUUAUCAUAGAAGGCAAUUACACUGAUCAGGCAUUAUUUAUAUUUGUUAAAAUCAAAAUAUUCUCUUCUAUGAACCCUGUUCCUAAGCACAAAAGUCUGGGAUCACUUGUUGCUGAAGACUGAGAUAAAGAAGGCAUUGAGCACCUCAGCCUUAUCUUGUAUUUGCUGUCACUAAGUCACUCAUGCAAUUCAACAGCGGUUCAGUAUUUUCUUUAUUCCUUUACUACUGAGGGAGCAGUAGACACUCUUCUUGCCCCUCCCAGUUUCCCAGAUACCAUCCUUUAGUGUCUGGACAAUAUCCACCUCACUUUCACCUUCUUUAUGUUUUUUCUUUUCCUAUUCCUUUUCCUUUUCAUACUGGGAAACUGACACAAUUUCUUUCUUUAGCUUCUUGGUCUCCUGAUAUGUCCACUCAGUUUCCUGAGCAUCAAGAUAGUCUAUUCUUGGACUUUGGUGACGGAUGCACCCAAAACAGAUGGCUUUCCUGAGUUCCUUUGAGCUUCAGAGCUACUUUCCAUGGGAUCUCAUUUACAAGUUCUACAGAUUAAAAAAUAAAAAUAAAAAAAUCACAAAAACACACCUGUGGUCACAAAAGUCAAGACACUUCCUACAGCACCAAUUAUGCUGCUAGUUGCUAAUUUGCAACGUUCAUCCAUUUCUGACAGACUUUCCUUUUGACCUGAAGGACAUCAGCUGUCUCAGCUUUUCCCUCCUCAGAUUUCUGUAGGCACUCUCGAUGCACUCCUUGGCAGUGUCAUUGGUACCCACACUGAUGAGUGACAUAGGAAGUAAGGGCUGGACAAGCCUUGACAGUCUCCAUAUCAUGACAGAUCCUGUCGUUCAGCAAGCAGCAAACCUCCAGUGACAACACACCCUGCAAACACCGUCACCAGUUGCUUCCUCCUCAAUAUGACUUUCAGUUCAGGUCCAGGUGGUUCCUAUAGCUUCUCUCAACUGAACUUUGUUUCCUUCACUGGCUGUUAGGGAACCUUACUGAACAAAAUUUGAGGCCAGAGAAGAAGCAUUUCUCUCGAUGUCAGAAUCCCCAAGCCUUCAGCCUUCCUCUUUGUGAGAGCAUCCAGUCACUGCUUGUUCAAACUUCAAGCUGCCCUGCAUCUAGCACAGCAUGUCUGCAAGGUUUCUGUGAAGACUCUGCCUCUUAUUCAUGAGAGAGUCAUUUGAAGCUUAUCACUUGGAAAUUUCAGAAAUAUCAAAUUGUUCUGAACUACACUGUGUUGCCUCGGGAAA
Molecule: long non-coding RNA, 3242 nt
Filed under: Gallus gallus (chicken)
Lineage: Eukaryota; Metazoa; Chordata; Aves; Galliformes; Phasianidae
Description: lncRNA (ENSGALG00010004538.1)
Source: RNAcentral